GAUGAUGAUGUCGGUGACCGCGUCGAAGACGAACUUGACGUUCUGCGUGUCGGUGGCGCACGUCAUGUGGGAGUAGAUCUCCUUCACGUCGCGUCGCAUGUUGAGCUCCAGGAACUGCACUUUGAUGUAGUUGCCCGCGUCCUCAGCACGAUGGACGUGGUGGCGAAGUAGCGGUGGUUGCAGAUGCUGUUGAACAGCACCAUGUCGUAGGCGCUCAGCGCCGCGAUGAAGAUGAUGCACGUCACGCCCUCGAAGCAGUGGAUCCACUUCUUGCGCUCCGAGCGCUGCCCGCCCACGUCGAACAUCCUGCGGGCGGGCGGGGCUUGAGCCCGAGCCUCGAGCCCCCUGGACACGCCCACAGGCCUCCCCUCGCCUCCCGAGGCUGGCGGGGGCGCCCCCAGACGCGGGGA
Myotis myotis is the source of this 410-nucleotide long non-coding RNA. RefSeq lists it as uncharacterized. The transcript has 3 exons. The record is from RefSeq and is a predicted model, not a curated record. NCBI's taxonomy places the organism in Eukaryota, Metazoa, Chordata, Mammalia, Chiroptera, Vespertilionidae.